RNAcentral lists this long non-coding RNA (1283 nucleotides) under Amborella trichopoda. Its description in RNAcentral is "long non-coding RNA (ATRI_LNC001869)". The record is from RNAcentral. Lineage: Eukaryota; Viridiplantae; Streptophyta; Magnoliopsida; Amborellales; Amborellaceae.
GCACGGCGGAUGCAUACAAGGUACAUCAUAAGAAAAAUUGUAAGAUAGGAGUUGUGUUUGGUAUAACUUCAAAGAAAUUUUCAAAAACCUGAUUUUGAUUUUGAAAUUUAAGAGUAGUCCAUUAUAUUUUAUACUUUAAAGUUCAAACAUAAACCCUGCUAUUUUUUAAAGUAUAUAGUGUGUUUUAAUUUUCCUAAUAUUUCAAAUUACUUUAAAUUCGGGCCGGCCAUACUUCUCGCAUCAUAUGCUUGUAAAAAAUAUAAUAAAAUAAAUUUAAUAGCAAAUAACCAAAAUAUCCGUAGAUGAUUAGGGAUAUUUUAGUAAUUUUAUUUAUUUCUGUAUUUUCUUUUUUUAGUAAAUAUCUUUUUGUAUUUUCUACAUCUGUCUGAUGCUGAGAAAUAUGCUUGAGCACUGAUAUAUAAAAAGAAGAAAAAACGGCAACAAACUAUACAUUCUUAAAAAAAAAAAAGUGGCACUUGAGCAUAAGCUACGAAAUAGAGGUCCUAUUUCCAAAAAUACAAUAUGACUUUUCUGGAAUGUAAUUUUAUUAUGAUGAAAUAAAAGGUGGGGCCUAGAUGAUAAUUUCGGAAAUAUGACGAAUUGUUUGCGUGUCGUACACAAAUGUUUGUGUCCAUGAUUUGUAUAGGACUAAUUUAGUGCCAUGCUUUGAUGACUCGUAUAAUAUUAAUUACUACUAAACCAUGGAUUAUUAAUAGCCUAUUUUGGACGCAUCCGUGUGGUACUUGGCAUGCCAAAAACAAAGAGUUUGCUGUUUUUCUAGAACAUAUGAUUGGUUAAAGCAUUAAUUAAAAAAAAAUAUACAAAAUUUUCUUUCCUUUCUUUUUUUUUUUUUAUCUGGAAUUUUUUUUGGGUAAAUACAACCGCUCAAUAAAAAAAGAAAACUGAAAUUUUUGACAAUUGAAAUCGAGGUUCAUAUUUUUCAAAGGAAUCUCAUAAACUUCUCUCUAUGAAUGUGUUAAUAUUUAUUCUUGUUUAUUUCAACAACCCUCAAUGAAACAGAGACUGUGCAAGUCAAUAGAGAGAUAGAAUUGCUUAUUUUCAUAAAGGAAAUUCUUCCUUUAUUAAUUCGCACAAAUAAAAGAGCUCUUCGGAUCACAAAACAAAUGAUAAUACUAAUAACACCGUUGUUACUCCGUAUAUUGCCAAAUCUAGAAAGUCUAAUUUUGCAAGUUAAUGCGACAAUUGGUCAAAGUAGCAGAGGCAGCGUCCAUUUACUUACCAAGGGAGGCGGCAGCGUGGUCGGUUCUCAGUGUCUACCAAGC